This is a long non-coding RNA of Coturnix japonica (Japanese quail), 485 nucleotides long. RefSeq lists it as uncharacterized. The record is from RefSeq and is a predicted model, not a curated record. NCBI's taxonomy places the organism in Eukaryota, Metazoa, Chordata, Aves, Galliformes, Phasianidae.
AUAACUUUGCUGCAUUGUUCUUCAGGGUCACUGCCAGUGAAACUGUACACCUCAGACCUCCAAGAACUGGAACAGUUACACUAGUCCAAAAGCCUGACAUUUGUUCAGCAAGUCUAAAUGGAAGGUGUUGCACUUAAGCUGCGACAAUCCCACAUAUGUGUAUGGACUGGGAGAAGAACUCGUUGAGAGCAACCCUUUGGAGAAGGACCUGGGGAUUCUGGAGUGUGAAAAGCCAGCAACCCAGAAGACCAACUGUAGCUCACGCUGCAUCAACAGAGGGGUGACAGCUGUGGAGAGAGAGGUAACUUAAAGCUUACUGCAUCAAUUUGCCUACUGAAGAUGGAUGGAAGUUCUUUUUUUUUUUUCUUCCUUCCUGUACAUGGCAGAUCAAUUGUGAUGACAAAUAACAAUCGAACAUCAGUAAUGUAAAAAUAACAACAACAAACAAGCCCAAAGAAGUUCAGAAAUAAAAGCAUAUGUACAGA